GGAUGAAGGAUAUUCCUUGCGGAUCAAGCCAUGAAUGGAAGCUUCGCUUGGAAUUAUGCCCUUGAUGUUCAUUAGAGUAUGGGCCCAACUGUGAAUGAACACUUGCCUGGAGGCAUAGUCAGGAAAGAUCGGAUCAUUGCGCUUAGGGGAAAAAAAAAGUUUUCCCAUGGGCCAAGGCUACAAUGCAUAUUGCCUGUAAGCGCGGCUCACAGUUAGUUGAGUG
Molecule: long non-coding RNA, 223 nt
Filed under: Malus domestica (apple)
Lineage: Eukaryota; Viridiplantae; Streptophyta; Magnoliopsida; Rosales; Rosaceae
Description: long non-coding RNA (MDOM_LNC005603)
Source: RNAcentral